AGUUUGAAGAUAAUUAAUUUUAAAUGAAUCCUGCCCAGUGAAUAAAUUUUUAAAUGGCCGCAGUACCUUGACUGUGCUAAGGUAGCAUAAUCAAUUGGCUUUUAAUUAGAGUCUGGAAUGAAUGGAAUAAUGAAAUAAAGCUGUCUUAAAAAUUAUUUCUAUAAACUUAUUUAUAAGGUGAAAAUACCUUAAAUUUUUAGAAAAAAGACGAGAAGACCCUUAGAGUUUUUAAUAUAUAAAUAAAUUUAAUGUUUAUUAUUUUUUUGUUGGGGCGACAAGUAAACAUUUUAAACUUUACGUUUUUAUAUUACGAUUUUAUUAAAAUAAAAAAAACUACCUUAGGGAUAACAGCAUUAUUUAUUAAUAAGAUUGUGACCUCGAUGUUGGACUAGGAACUUUAUGGCUAGCCGUCAAAUAAGAUUUGUUCUGUUCGAACAAUAUUAUCCU
RNAcentral lists this ribosomal RNA (447 nucleotides) under Planorbella trivolvis. RNAcentral's name for it is "partial large subunit ribosomal RNA". The stretch from base 1 to 136 matches the Rfam family "Eukaryotic large subunit ribosomal RNA", at positions 2155 to 2333 of the family's 3401-position model. The record is from RNAcentral. Lineage: Eukaryota; Metazoa; Mollusca; Gastropoda; Planorbidae.